This 62-nucleotide non-coding RNA is filed under the name Streptomyces sp. Lineage: Bacteria; Bacillati; Actinomycetota; Actinomycetes; Kitasatosporales; Streptomycetaceae. The record is from RNAcentral.
UGCUAGCCUCGGUGGCAACCCGACGAGACGCGCCGUACCGGGUCAGGACAAGACGACGCACC